GACGAACGCUGGCGGCGUGCUUAACACAUGCAAGUCGAACGAAGAGCGAUGGAAGCUUGCUUCUAUCAAUCUUAGUGGCGAACGGGUGAGUAACGCGUAAUCAACCUGCCCUUCAGAGGGGGACAACAGUUGGAAACGACUGCUAAUACCGCAUACGAUCUAAUCUCGGCAUCGAGGAUAGAUGAAAGGUGGCCUCUACAUGUAAGCUAUCACUGAAGGAGGGGAUUGCGUCUGAUUAGCUAGUUGGAGGGGUAACGGCCCACCAAGGCGAUGAUCAGUAGCCGGUCUGAGAGGAUGAACGGCCACAUUGGGACUGAGACACGGCCCAGACUCCUACGGGAGGCAGCAGUGGGGAAUCUUCCGCAAUAGACGAAAGUCUGACGGAGCAACGCCGCGUGAGGGAUGACGGCCUUCGGGUUGUAAAGCUCUGUUAAUCGGGACGAAAGGCCUUCUUGCGAAUAGUGAGAAGGAUUGACGGUACCGGAAUAGAAAGCCACGGCUAACUACGUG
RNAcentral lists this ribosomal RNA (510 nucleotides) under uncultured bacterium. RNAcentral describes it as "partial 16S ribosomal RNA". It matches the Rfam family "Bacterial small subunit ribosomal RNA", at positions 28 to 507 of the family's 1533-position model. The record is from RNAcentral.